GCUUGAUUUCGUGCAGAAGAUGGUACCUGCUCGAGGUGGUGUUUUCGCUAGACGGAAGUAAUGAUGUACAUUGUGUCAUUGCUGGCUGAAGUUGAUCGGACAAUCCUCAAUAUCACGUACAAUGUUCUACAAGCACAAUAUUGGUAAGUGGAAGUAAAAGUAAGUGCCUUGCCUAAUUGAGCUUAAACUUGUUAGUUGGGCGGCAACGCAAAUAUGAACUUAUAUAUGUGCUACUAAUUAGAGCAAAGGGGGUUCAUGAAAAGGACUAAUGCUACAUAGUGCAACCCCAAUUCCAAUGGAGAUGGUGAACGCUCUAGGGCAUCCCAGUUCUUUUUUGCUGAUCUAUCAGGUCCAACACCUGCGACUGCUCGUCAGGUCCAACAUCCGCGUCGAGGAGUCCUGCUUCGUUGCGAAGGGAGAAGUCGGUUUUCAGUCCCUCAUGGAGGCCAUGCAGUUCAUGGCGUACGUCUGUUCCAGGCCGGCGCUUUGUAGACAGAGCUUCAAAAUUCAGGACAUCUUGGAGGAGAACCGCUAGGGUUCUCUCGAGGAAGUUUAGGUCCAUCGGUGGAGCAGGAAUUCCUGAGCGAAUCUUGAAGGACAUCUUUCUUUCUAGUAAAUAUCUAAGCCGAAGAUAGCUCCCUAUGUAUUUGAUGCAACGGAUGUAAAUAUUUUGUUUAUGUAGAUGUCCAUCUGUGCUCUAAUCUAGUAGUAAUGAUACAAUAGUUUCUUCUCGGAUGCAUGUACUGCUUUCAUGUAAGAUUUAACAUCAGAUUGAAAAGAAAGAAAACAUGGUGCUUCAAGUA
Molecule: long non-coding RNA, 803 nt
Filed under: Triticum aestivum (bread wheat)
Lineage: Eukaryota; Viridiplantae; Streptophyta; Magnoliopsida; Poales; Poaceae
Description: long non-coding RNA (TAES_LNC028573)
Source: RNAcentral